UACGGGGGGGGCGAGCGUUGUUCGGAAUUACUGGGCGUAAAGGGUUCGUAGGUGGCCUGCUAAGUCAGACGUGAAAUCCCUCAGCUCAACUGGGGAACUGCGUCUGAGACUGGCGGGCUUGAGUGCAGGAGAGGAAAGCGGAAUUCCAGGUGUAGCGGUGAAAUGCGUAGAUAUCUGGAGGAACACCGGUGGCGAAGGCGGCGUUCUGGACUGCUACUGACACUGAUGAACGAAAGCCAGGGGAGCAAAC
Molecule: ribosomal RNA, 250 nt
Filed under: uncultured bacterium
Lineage: Bacteria
Description: partial 16S ribosomal RNA
Rfam family: Bacterial small subunit ribosomal RNA
Source: RNAcentral